GAUGAGAACGUAGCGAAAUGCGAUAAGUAAUGUGAAUUGCAGAAUUCAGUGAAUCAUCGAGUCUUUGAACGCACAUUGCGCCCCCUGGUAUUCCGGGGGGCAUGCCUGUCCGAGCGUCAUUGCUGCCCUCAAGCACGGCUUGUGUGUUGGGCCGUCGUCCCCCUCCUAGGGGACGGGCCCGAAAGGCAGCGGCGGCACCGCGUCCGGUCCUCGAGCGUAUGGGGCUUCGUCACCCGCUCCGUAGGCCCGGCCGGCGCUUGCCGACGACCAUCAAUCUCUUUCUCCAGGUUGACCUCGGAUCAGGUAGGGAUACCCGCUGAACUUAAGCAUAUCAAUAAGCGGAGGA
RNAcentral lists this unclassified non-coding RNA (346 nucleotides) under soil metagenome. RNAcentral's name for it is "partial contains 5.8S ribosomal RNA, internal transcribed spacer 2, and large subunit ribosomal RNA". The stretch from base 5 to 119 matches the Rfam family "5.8S ribosomal RNA", at positions 40 to 154 of the family's 154-position model. The record is from RNAcentral.